This 2353-nucleotide long non-coding RNA is filed under the name Cottoperca gobio. RNAcentral describes it as "lncRNA (ENSCGOG00000003001.1)". Lineage: Eukaryota; Metazoa; Chordata; Actinopteri; Perciformes; Bovichtidae. The record is from RNAcentral.
CCUAGUGUACUAAUCUUUUCUUGAAAGGGGAGGGGGGGGGGUGUCCUCUCUUCACUCAGCAUUGGACAGCAGCUGAGCUGAGUGCUCCUCCUCGCCUCAAUCAUCCUUAAAACCUGCUGGAAACACACCGACACGCACUCAUUUACCUGCUGCUGAUAACCGGGACAAGAUGUUCUGCAGACGGGCAUUGCAGAGAGUCGGGCCGCUGGCACGGAGGGCUUUCAAACCCACAUCCAAUAAUGCAGCUCCAGUGCGACACAUGGCCUUUGGGGUCCCUGGUGGCUCCAGCAACAUGGCGUACUUUGUCCUGUGUGGAGGCGGCCUCACUGCUGCUGUCGUCUAUGCCUACAAGACAGUCAAUGGUGACGGUGUGGACAAACUCGCAAACAUGGACUCCACAGCAAAGGCUCCUUCGGCCGAGGUAGUGCCAGAAGUGGUGGCUCCUGCAGCUGAACUCGCCGAGGUAGUCGCCGCGGAGGUUGUUGCCGAGGUCGUGGCGGAGUCUGUCCCUGCUCCAGCAGUAGCGGAGCUCGCUGCCGAACCGGUCGCUGAGGCAGUGUCUGAAGAAGCGCCCGCCGCCGUGGCCUCUGAGGUGGUCGUCGUUGAGGCUGCAGCUGAGCCAGCAGUCACAGAAGAAGCCGCUGUAGUGGCAGACGCUGUCACAGAAGAAGCCGCUGUAGUGGCAGAGGCUGUCCCUGAAGUUGCGGCCGCAGAGGAGACUCCUGCAGUAGAGGCCCCUGCAGCAGAAGAAGCCCCCGCAGCGGAAGCCCCCGCAGUAGAGGCCCCAGCAGCAGAAGAAGCCCCUGCAGCAGAGAGCGCUGGUACGGCAGCAGUAGAUGAAGUUCCUCCUGCGCCCGCCGCUGAAGCAGAGACGGGCUCUGCAGCCCCAGAGGCAGAGGCUGCCCCUGCUGCAGAGGUGGCUGCAUAAAGCUGUGACGGUGCAAUAGUUGCCGAGAAAGUAGGGCUCAGAGUUAGUUGUGCUGUGUCCCACCUCUGUGACCCAGGAAAAAUGGACUCAUGGACCCCUAGUUUUCAUUUUUUUUUGCUUUUAAUACCAUAAGGGUUCAUCAGUCCAGUUUUCCAGUGCCUUCCUUCCUUUACCCAACCUUCAGACCCAAACCAGAACAUUUGUCAUCAGGCUGUUGAGAUUCAGUUUGGAAAAUUCAGUUUCUAUAGGAAUUUUUUUUAAAUAACUAGAGCAAAUGCAAAUCAUGGUUUGGCAGCUGUACAGUUAAUAAGAGUGUUGAUUUAGGUGGUAUAAGGGAUAUAACAGAGUUAUGUUCUGUGAGAUGUUGUUCUAAAGUGCCCUUAAAACAUGACGGCCUCGCAUUUUCCUCUAAAUGUCCGUACGGUGACUGAAUGUAGCCCAUUUGAUAAAUUGUUCAAGUUGUCUUGUGUCGUUCAAAAUCAUUUGCACUUGGUCUUCUGCUCGACAAAUACUUAUUUCCAGCUACAGCUCAUGUAUCUUUGCUUAGGCUAGGAUUCUCAUGCAAACGGUAGAGAGAUGGAACAAAUGGUCAGUGCGCCUCGUUUUGUUUUAACCGUCUCACAUUGUGAAGUAUGACCAAAAACCAGUUGGCUCUUUUUCCUGGCUGCAGCACCUGUCUAGUCUUCUUGAUAACUUUUGCUCAUCACCGCCUCCUAAUGCGUUUACUCCAUAAGGAGAUGUUCGGUUUUUUUUUUUUUCUCGCACAUUCAAACUUUUAUUUGCCAGCCAGUGUUUAACUCGCUUCUCCCGUUUCUUUACUCUUUAAAUGUGAAAUCUUUCAGGGAACACUACAGAAAAUUCCAUCACCUGUUUUUUGCAAGUUGUCAUUAAUACAGUCAAUAUUUCAAAGAAUAAAACAUCACUGGAUGAGAAUGAGGUGUCUCAAUAUUGCAUUUUUUUUAUAUUACUUUAUAUAUUAUGGUUGUGUGGCGAAUGUAUGACUCAAAACUAUAAUUAUUUUAUUUGCAUUUAACACUGUAGGUUGUAAAAUAACUGGUUCAGAUUAAGUAUAAGUUGUCCAGGGCUAAUUGGUGGCAAAUGUCUUGCUGCUAGCUUGUAGACAGUAAAUUGUAUUGUAGGUGUAGAAACACGCACUUCCUGUAGAAAUCCUUAAUUUCCUGAAGAAUCCCUGUGCUGUGUCCAUGCGCCUGUGCCGUGUCCAUGCUCCUGCUCCUGUGUAAAGUCACAAUGUUGUACAAAAGGCAGGGACGGGCAGAAAGCAGCUGCAGGCAGCGCUCUGUAAGAAGCAGUCAGAUGGAUGUGGAAGAUCCUGCUCAACAAGUUGAGGGGGAAAAAGACCUGCAGGCACUCAAGUUUUGUGAGAACUGUGCCUUUUUUCUUUUUAUAAAGGUUUUUGUAUUGAAA